UACAGGGGGUGCAAACGUUGCUCGGAAUCAUUGGGCGUAAAGCGCACGUAGGCGGUUCGUUAUGUCGGAUGUGAAAGCCCUUGGCUUAACCGAGGAAGUGCAUCCGAAACUGGCGAGCUAGAGUACGAAAGAGGAUCGCGGAAUUCCCGGUGUAGAGGUGAAGCUCGUAGAUAUCGGGAGGAACACCGGUGGCGAAGGCGGCGAUCUGGGUCGAUACUGACGCUGAGGUGCGAAAGCGUGGGGAGCAAACAGG
This 253-nucleotide ribosomal RNA is filed under the name uncultured bacterium. RNAcentral describes it as "partial 16S ribosomal RNA". It matches the Rfam family "Bacterial small subunit ribosomal RNA", at positions 524 to 776 of the family's 1533-position model. The record is from RNAcentral.